ACUCAAAUGAAUAGACGGGGGCCCGCACAAGCAGCGGAGCGUGUGGUUUAAUUCGAGGCUACACGAAGAACCUUACCUGGGUUUGACAUAUACGUAGUAGGGAACUGAAAAGGGACCGACCUUCGGGAGCGUAUACAGGUGCUGCAUGGCUGUCGUCAGCUCGUGCCGUGAGGUGUUCGGUUAAGUCCGCAAACGAGCGCAACCCCUGGUGCUAGUUACAAGUGUCUAGCGCAACUGCCCGUGAGAAACGGGAGGAAGGUGGGGAUGACGUCAAGUCAGCAUGGCCUUUAUAUCCAGGGCUACACACACGCUACAAUGGGCGGUACAAUGGGUCGCGAAGCCGCGAGGCGGAGCCAAUCCUGAAAGCCGUUCGUAGUUCGGAUUGCAGGCUGCAACUCGCCUGCAUGAAGUCGGAGUUGCUAGUAACCGCAGGUCAGCUAUACUGCGGUGAAUACGUUCCCGGGCCUUGUACACACCGCCCGU
This 483-nucleotide ribosomal RNA is filed under the name uncultured bacterium. RNAcentral describes it as "partial 16S ribosomal RNA". It matches the Rfam family "Bacterial small subunit ribosomal RNA", at positions 899 to 1397 of the family's 1533-position model. The record is from RNAcentral.